GCUGCGGUAGUCUAAUGGUUAGGAUCUUCGGUUGUGGUCCGAUGGGCCCGGGUUCAAUUCCCGGCCGUGGCC
Molecule: transfer RNA, 72 nt
Filed under: archaeon
Lineage: Archaea
Description: tRNA-His
Rfam family: tRNA
About the family: Transfer RNA (tRNA) molecules are approximately 80 nucleotides in length.
Source: RNAcentral